This 344-nucleotide ribosomal RNA is filed under the name uncultured Verrucomicrobiota bacterium. RNAcentral's name for it is "bacterial SSU rRNA". It matches the Rfam family "Bacterial small subunit ribosomal RNA", at positions 29 to 351 of the family's 1533-position model. The record is from RNAcentral. Lineage: Bacteria; Pseudomonadati; Verrucomicrobiota.
AACGAACGCUGGCGGCGUGGAUAAGACAUGCAAGUCGAACGCUGGUUGCUGGGUAGCAAUAUUCGGCAGCCGGAGUGGCGUAAGGGUGCGCAACACGUGGGUAAUUUGCCGCGAAGCCUGGGAUAACCCCGAGAAAUCGGGGCUAAUACCGGAUGUGGAAACCGAAGGACAUCCUUUGGGUUCCAAAGCUGGGGACCGUAAGGCCUGGCACUUCGCGAUAAGCCCGCGGCCUAUCAGCUAGUUGGUGAGGUAACGGCUCACCAAGGCUAAGACGGGUAGCUGGUCUGAGAGGACGACCAGCCACACUGGAACUGAGACACGGUCCAGACACCUACGGGUGGCAG